GGUUAAGCGACUAAGCGUACACGGUGGAUGCCCUGGCAGUCAGAGGCGAUGAAGGACGUGCUAAUCUGCGAUAAGCGUCGGUAAGGUGAUAUGAACCGUUAUAACCGGCGAUUUCCGAAUGGGGAAACCCAGUGUGUUUCGACACACUAUCAUUAACUGAAUCCAUAGGUUAAUGAGGCGAACCGGGGGAACUGAAACAUCUAAGUACCCCGAGGAAAAGAAAUCAACCGAGAUUCCCCCAGUAGCGGCGAGCGAACGGGGAGCAGCCCAGAGCCUGAAUCAGUGUGUGUGUUAGUGGAAGCGUCUGGAAAGGCGCGCGAUACAGGGUGACAGCCCCGUACACAAAAAUGCACAUACUGUGAGCUCGAUGAGUAGGGCGGGACACGUGGUAUCCUGUCUGAAUAUGGGGGGACCAUCCUCCAAGGCUAAAUACUCCUGACUGACCGAUAGUGAACCAGUACCGUGAGGGAAAGGCGAAAAGAACCCCGGCGAGGGGAGUGAAAAAGAACCUGAAACCGUGUACGUACAAGCAGUGGGAGCCUCUUUAUGGGGUGACUGCGUACCUUUUGUAUAAUGGGUCAGCGACUUAUAUUCUGUAGCAAGGUUAACCGAAUAGGGGAGCCGAAGGGAAACCGAGUCUUAACUGGGCGUUAAGUUGCAGGGUAUAGACCCGAAACCCGGUGAUCUAGCCAUGGGCAGGUUGAAGGUUGGGUAACACUAACUGGAGGACCGAACCGACUAAUGUUGAAAAAUUAGCGGAUGACUUGUGGCUGGGGGUGAAAGGCCAAUCAAACCGGGAGAUAGCUGGUUCUCCCCGAAAGCUAUUUAGGUAGCGCCUCGUGAAUUCAUCUCCGGGGGUAGAGCACUGUUUCGGCAAGGGGGUCAUCCCGACUUACCAACCCGAUGCAAACUGCGAAUACCGGAGAAUGUUAUCACGGGAGACACACGGCGGGUGCUAACGUCCGUCGUGAAGAGGGAAACAACCCAGACCGCCAGCUAAGGUCCCAAAGUCAUGGUUAAGUGGGAAACGAUGUGGGAAGGCCCAGACAGCCAGGAUGUUGGCUUAGAAGCAGCCAUCAUUUAAAGAAAGCGUAAUAGCUCACUGGUCGAGUCGGCCUGCGCGGAAGAUGUAACGGGGCUAAACCAUGCACCGAAGCUGCGGCAGCGACACUAUGUGUUGUUGGGUAGGGGAGCGUUCUGUAAGCCUGUGAAGGUGUGCUGUGAGGUAUGCUGGAGGUAUCAGAAGUGCGAAUGCUGACAUAAGUAACGAUAAAGCGGGUGAAAAGCCCGCUCGCCGGAAGACCAAGGGUUCCUGUCCAACGUUAAUCGGGGCAGGGUGAGUCGACCCCUAAGGCGAGGCCGAAAGGCGUAGUCGAUGGGAAACAGGUUAAUAUUCCUGUACUUGGUGUUACUGCGAAGGGGGGACGGAGAAGGCUAUGUUGGCCGGGCGACGGUUGUCCCGGUUUAAGCGUGUAGGCUGGUUUUCCAGGCAAAUCCGGAAAAUCAAGGCUGAGGCGUGAUGACGAGGCACUACGGUGCUGAAGCAACAAAUGCCCUGCUUCCAGGAAAAGCCUCUAAGCAUCAGGUAACAUCAAAUCGUACCCCAAACCGACACAGGUGGUCAGGUAGAGAAUACCAAGGCGCUUGAGAGAACUCGGGUGAAGGAACUAGGCAAAAUGGUGCCGUAACUUCGGGAGAAGGCACGCUGAUAUGUAGGUGAAGUCCCUUGCGGAUGGAGCUGAAAUCAGUCGAAGAUACCAGCUGGCUGCAACUGUUUAUUAAAAACACAGCACUGUGCAAACACGAAAGUGGACGUAUACGGUGUGACGCCUGCCCGGUGCCGGAAGGUUAAUUGAUGGGGUUAGCGGUAACGCGAAGCUCUUGAUCGAAGCCCCGGUAAACGGCGGCCGUAACUAUAACGGUCCUAAGGUAGCGAAAUUCCUUGUCGGGUAAGUUCCGACCUGCACGAAUGGCGUAAUGAUGGCCAGGCUGUCUCCACCCGAGACUCAGUGAAAUUGAACUCGCUGUGAAGAUGCAGUGUACCCGCGGCAAGACGGAAAGACCCCGUGAACCUUUACUAUAGCUUGACACUGAACAUUGAGCCUUGAUGUGUAGGAUAGGUGGGAGGCUUUGAAGUGUGGACGCCAGUCUGCAUGGAGCCGACCUUGAAAUACCACCCUUUAAUGUUUGAUGUUCUAACGUUGGCCCCUGAUCGGGGUUGCGGACAGUGUCUGGUGGGUAGUUUGACUGGGGCGGUCUCCUCCUAAAGAGUAACGGAGGAGCACGAAGGUUGGCUAAUCCUGGUCGGACAUCAGGAGGUUAGUGCAAUGGCAUAAGCCAGCUUGACUGCGAGCGUGACGGCGCGAGCAGGUGCGAAAGCAGGUCAUAGUGAUCCGGUGGUUCUGAAUGGAAGGGCCAUCGCUCAACGGAUAAAAGGUACUCCGGGGAUAACAGGCUGAUACCGCCCAAGAGUUCAUAUCGACGGCGGUGUUUGGCACCUCGAUGUCGGCUCAUCACAUCCUGGGGCUGAAGUAGGUCCCAAGGGUAUGGCUGUUCGCCAUUUAAAGUGGUACGCGAGCUGGGUUUAGAACGUCGUGAGACAGUUCGGUCCCUAUCUGCCGUGGGCGCUGGAGAACUGAGGGGGGCUGCUCCUAGUACGAGAGGACCGGAGUGGACGCAUCACUGGUGUUCGGGUUGUCAUGCCAAUGGCACUGCCCGGUAGCUAAAUGCGGAAGAGAUAAGUGCUGAAAGCAUCUAAGCACGAAACUUGCCCCGAGAUGAGUUCUCCCUGACUCCUUGAGAGUCCUGAAGGAACGUUGAAGACGACGACGUUGAUAGGCCGGGUGUGUAAGCGCAGCGAUGCGUUGAGCUAACCGGUACUAAUGAACCGUGAGGCUUAACCUU
Molecule: ribosomal RNA, 2904 nt
Filed under: Escherichia coli
Lineage: Bacteria; Pseudomonadati; Pseudomonadota; Gammaproteobacteria; Enterobacterales; Enterobacteriaceae
Also listed under: 2 other names
Description: 23S ribosomal RNA
Rfam family: Bacterial large subunit ribosomal RNA
Source: RNAcentral